UUUGAAUGUAAAUUUUGGCUUGGGUAGUAGUAGUUAUGUUCUUGAAACCCAAAGAAUUUGGCGGUACUUUAGUCCUUUCAGAGGAACCUGUCCCGUAAUCGAUAGUCCACGAGAAGGAACUACUUGUUUUUGUUUUCAGUUUGUAUACCUCCGUCAUCAGAGAAUCUUUUUAGAGUUAAUAAUUUUCUUGAGAUAGUAAAUGUAGGAUGUCAGGUCAAGGUGCAGCUUAUAAGCAAGUGGAGAUGGGUUACAAUAAUAAUAUUUAGACGGAAUAGAUGAUUUAUUGUUCUAUGAAGGUGGAUUUGAUAGUAAUAUUAAUUUUUUAUUAGUAUGAUUGUAGGCUCUAAAGUAUGU
RNAcentral lists this ribosomal RNA (354 nucleotides) under Ictinogomphus rapax. Its description in RNAcentral is "partial 12S ribosomal RNA". Lineage: Eukaryota; Metazoa; Arthropoda; Insecta; Odonata; Gomphidae. The record is from RNAcentral.